GCAACACUUUCAGACUUGGAUCCUGC
This 26-nucleotide non-coding RNA is filed under the name Homo sapiens (human). The record is from RNAcentral. Lineage: Eukaryota; Metazoa; Chordata; Mammalia; Primates; Hominidae.